RNAcentral lists this ribosomal RNA (253 nucleotides) under uncultured bacterium. RNAcentral's name for it is "partial 16S ribosomal RNA". It matches the Rfam family "Bacterial small subunit ribosomal RNA", at positions 524 to 776 of the family's 1533-position model. The record is from RNAcentral.
GACAGAGGGCUCAAACGUUGUUCGGAAUUACUGGGCGUAAAGCGCACGUAGGCGGCUUUCUAAGUCGGGGGUGAAAUCCUGGAGCUCAACUCCAGAACUGCCUUCGAUACUGGAAAGCUCGAGUCCGGGAGAGGUGAGUGGAACUGCGAGUGUAGAGGUGAAAUUCGUAGAUAUUCGCAAGAACACCAGUGGCGAAGGCGGCUCACUGGCCCGGUACUGACGCUGAGGUGCGAAAGCGUGGGGAGCAAACAGG